RNAcentral lists this ribosomal RNA (253 nucleotides) under uncultured bacterium. RNAcentral describes it as "partial 16S ribosomal RNA". It matches the Rfam family "Bacterial small subunit ribosomal RNA", at positions 524 to 776 of the family's 1533-position model. The record is from RNAcentral.
UACAGAGGUGGCAAGCGUUGUUCGGAAUUACUGGGCGUAAAGGGCGCGUAGGCGGCCCGUCAAGUCCCGUGUGAAAGCCCCCGGCUCAACCGGGGAACUGCACGGGAAACUAGCAGGCUUGAGUUCGGGAGAGGGAAGCGGAAUUUCGGGUGUAGCGGUGAAAUGCGCAGAUAUCCGAAGGAACACCGGUGGCGAAGGCGGCUACCUGGACAGGUACUGACGCUGAAGCGCGAAAGCUAGGGGAGCAAACAGG